CUACUGGGGUAUCUAAUCCUGUUUGCUCCCCACGCUUUCGCACCUCAGCGUCAGAAAUGUGCCAGACAGUCGCCUUCGCCACUGGUGUUCUUCCGAAUAUCUACGAAUUUCACCUCUACACUCGGAAUUCCACUAUCCUCUCACAUCCUCUAGCUUGCCAGUUUUGGAGGCAGUUCCGAGGUUGAGCCCCGGGAUUUCACCCCCAACUUGGCAUGCCGCCUACGCGCGCUUUACGCCCAGUAAUUCCGAACAACGCUAGCCCCUUUCGUAUUACCGCGGCUGCUGGCAC
Molecule: ribosomal RNA, 289 nt
Filed under: uncultured Parvularcula sp.
Lineage: Bacteria; Pseudomonadati; Pseudomonadota; Alphaproteobacteria; Parvularculales; Parvularculaceae
Description: partial 16S ribosomal RNA
Source: RNAcentral